ACGAGUAUGCUGAAAUUGGUAGCCAGGUGAAUCUUAGGAAUUCAUGAUAUAAUCAUAAGAGUUCAAGUCUCUUUACUCGUA
This 81-nucleotide transfer RNA is filed under the name Coprinellus micaceus. RNAcentral's name for it is "tRNA-Leu". The record is from RNAcentral. Lineage: Eukaryota; Fungi; Basidiomycota; Agaricomycetes; Agaricales; Psathyrellaceae.